Mauremys reevesii (Reeves's turtle) is the source of this 694-nucleotide long non-coding RNA. RefSeq lists it as uncharacterized. The transcript has 3 exons. The record is from RefSeq and is a predicted model, not a curated record. NCBI's taxonomy places the organism in Eukaryota, Metazoa, Chordata, Testudines, Geoemydidae.
CACAGGCCAUUGUGGGUUCAUCGUCAGCGAUGUCCACAAACUCUGCUCCCCAUUGUGCCCCAGUAAUUCCAUCAAGUCACUAAGGAUGUGAACGGGUAUGGUUUGGGCCUGCUAGUCACCUCCGGGUAGUGUGUUCAACAUUUUUAAAGGAAAGGUCCAUUUGUAUGGUGCAAGUAGAAGGAAAGUGAAGGAUGGGUGGUGCUUUGGGACCUACUAGAAGAUGGAGAACCAGAGUUAUAGGAAGGCCACCUCCUUUUUCUGACCAGCUGCAGGGAUCCAGCUUAUUCCUACAUCUUCUUCAUGAGAGGCUCUGGGGUACAUCGUAGGCCUAUGAAAAGACACUCCAGCUGAGGAUUCUUCCCCACAGCGUGUGAGCAGCUAAUCCAACAGGUUGCCCCGGUUUGAAAAGGAUGCAGAUCUCACUAGCAAACAUCUUGUGCUCCGGUGAUGAAUGAAAGGUGCAACCCUGGAAUUUAUAGCCCAGCAUUAUCAGUAGAGGAAUAGACGCUCUGGGGUUGGAGGGAGAUGCCUCUGUAUGGCUCUUUUCCAGUGCACCUGCUAUGCUGUUGCUGUUCACCCUAUUAACACUGUGCCUCAUCACUACCUGUGCGAACCUCAUGCUCAAACACUGAGCCUACUCCCUGUCAAAUUUAACAACCACUUCAUACCCUUUUUACAAUCCCAUCACACCUGC